Molecule: ribosomal RNA, 429 nt
Filed under: Chloroflexota bacterium
Lineage: Bacteria; Bacillati; Chloroflexota
Description: Chloroflexi bacterium partial 16S ribosomal RNA
Rfam family: Bacterial small subunit ribosomal RNA
Source: RNAcentral
UGGGGAAUAUUGCACAAUGGGCGCAAGCCUGAUGCAGCCAUGCCGCGUGUGUGAAGAAGGCCUUCGGGUUGUAAAGCACUUUUAGCGGGGAGGAAGGCGAUAAGGUUAAUAACCUUGUCGAUUGACGUUACCCGCAGAAGAAGCACCGGCUAACUCCGUGCCAGCAGCCGCGGUAAUACGGAGGGUGCAAGCGUUAAUCGGAAUUACUGGGCGUAAAGCGCACGCAGGCGGUCUGUCAAGUCGGAUGUGAAAUCCCCGGGCUUAACCUGGGAACUGCAUUCGAAACUGGCAGGCUAGAGUCUUGUAGAGGGGGGUAGAAUUCCAGGUGUAGCGGUGAAAUGCGUAGAGAUCUGGAGGAAUACCGGUGGCGAAGGCGGCCCCCUAGACGAAGACUGACGCUCAGGUGCGAAAGCGUGGGGAGCAAACAGG